RNAcentral lists this microRNA (21 nucleotides) under Brassica napus (rape). Its description in RNAcentral is "bna-miR6028". Lineage: Eukaryota; Viridiplantae; Streptophyta; Magnoliopsida; Brassicales; Brassicaceae. The record is from miRBase by way of RNAcentral.
UGGAGAGUAAGGACAUUCAGA